GACGAACGCUGGCGGCGUGCCUAACACAUGCAAGUCGAGCGGAGUCAGUAAGAGGAAGAUUUCGGAUGGAAUCUUAUUGAUUUAGCGGCGGACGGGUGAGUAACGCGUGAGCGACCAACCUUGCACAGGGGGAUCACGGACCGAAAGGUUCACUAAUACCGCAUGAGACCACGGUGUUGCAUGACAAAGGGGUCAAAGGAGUAAUCCGGUGCAAGACGGGCUCGCGUCCGAGUAGGUAGUUGGAGGGGUAACGGCCCACCAAGCCUAGUAGCGGUAGCCGACCUGAGAGGGUGAUCGGCCACAUUGGAACUGAGAUACGGUCCAAACUCCUACGGGAGGCAGCAGUGGGGAAUAUUGGGCAAUGGGGGAAACCCUGACCCAGCAACGCCGCGUGAAGGAAGAAGGUUUUCGGAUUGUAAACUUCUGUCCUUGGUGAAGAGAAGAAGACGGUAGCCAAGGAGGAAGCCCCGGCUAACUACGUGCCAGCAGCCGCAGUAA
RNAcentral lists this ribosomal RNA (498 nucleotides) under uncultured bacterium. Its description in RNAcentral is "partial 16S ribosomal RNA". It matches the Rfam family "Bacterial small subunit ribosomal RNA", at positions 28 to 523 of the family's 1533-position model. The record is from RNAcentral.